UGUCAUAUUUCUUGCUCGUUGAACAAGCACAGACGUUGACGAAAGAUCGUAUCUGGGUACCGAAAUUCUUGGGCGAAUUUAAAUAAAAUAAAUGUGUGGACCAGAAGAGAAAUAUGUACAUUAUACAUCGUAGUAUAAGUGACGUAAAGAAAGACAAAUAUUCGCAAGGGUGUUUCGUUUAGAUACGAACGCAUUACGAAAGGGGAAAAGUCGUUUAAAUAGUUAGAUGAGGUAGAUGAGCAAACUGAUGAAACCCAGAUGAAAUAUCUUUCCCUGACGAAACUUAUGUACCUACAUAGGAAUAAACGAUAUUUACGUAAGAAGCACGCACCCAGGGAUUAUGACGCUUAGCGGCACUCUUGCUCUGUAAGCAAUGGCACAAGAAUGUUCCCUUGUGGAUGAACUGAGCUUUAGUAUCCUCU
This is a long non-coding RNA of Belonocnema kinseyi, 422 nucleotides long. RefSeq lists it as uncharacterized. The transcript is spliced from 3 exons. The record is from RefSeq and is a predicted model, not a curated record. Lineage: Eukaryota; Metazoa; Arthropoda; Insecta; Hymenoptera; Cynipidae.